This 271-nucleotide long non-coding RNA is filed under the name Hordeum vulgare. RNAcentral describes it as "long non-coding RNA (HVUL_LNC009851)". Lineage: Eukaryota; Viridiplantae; Streptophyta; Magnoliopsida; Poales; Poaceae. The record is from RNAcentral.
AAAAAGAAACAUUCUGCUUGGUCAGGUCCACCAACAGCAUCCAAGUUCAACAGAUUCAACAGAUUCCAACCGACUACCAGCAGUCAGUCAAAGUCUCAAGAUCCUGUUGGUCACUCGGACCUACUUCAAUUCUUAAGUUCACUCGGACGUACUACUCAGCGGAAUCGAUCAGGGCGAAUGAUGAAGACUUCAAUCAACGCAUUAUUUUGCAAGGCUCUGAAGCACGUUCAAGUUCGGUCUGCUGCUACAAGAUUUACAUCGACACCUUCAC